AUAAAUUCGUUGAUGAGAAGAGUAGUGUUACGAACUGAUUCAGAAAGCGGCUGGUUGAUGAGAAGUCGUUCUGUUCAAGACAUGAAGAUGAGCUCGGAGAAAUGGUGAUGGUGCAAGCUGUUACCACGGCAGGAACCGUUAUCUUCCCUGGUUUAUCCGCUUAAGUGCGGCGAACUGUAGAGGUGUAUUUGGUGACAAAUACAUAAAUUAGGGUGGUAACACGAUGAAGUCGUCCCUAGU
RNAcentral lists this non-coding RNA (240 nucleotides) under Weissella cibaria. Its description in RNAcentral is "T-box sequence". It matches the Rfam family "T-box leader". From Rfam's summary of the family: Uncharged tRNA acts as the effector for transcription antitermination of genes in the T-box leader family. T-boxes are found upstream of many aminoacyl-tRNA synthetase genes and some amino acid biosynthetic genes usually in Gram-positive bacteria. Lineage: Bacteria; Bacillati; Bacillota; Bacilli; Lactobacillales; Lactobacillaceae. The record is from RNAcentral.